GCAAGUUUGAAGUUGUGAAAAUCUUGUAUUUAUACACAAGUGUGGAUCUUUCAACUAACAAAUUUGAAGGACUUAUUCCAAGUAUUAUGGGAGAUCUCAUUGCACUUCGGGUGUUGAAUUUGUCUAACAAUGGAUUACAAGGUCAUAUACCGCCAUCACUUGGAAAUUUAGCGGUAGUAGAAUCAUUUGACCUUUCAUUCAACCACCUUUCUGGAGAGAUACCGGAACAACUUGCUUCGAUAACAACUCUUGCAGUGUUAAAUCUCU
This 267-nucleotide unclassified non-coding RNA is filed under the name Hevea brasiliensis (rubber tree). Lineage: Eukaryota; Viridiplantae; Streptophyta; Magnoliopsida; Malpighiales; Euphorbiaceae. The record is from RNAcentral.